RNAcentral lists this ribosomal RNA (107 nucleotides) under uncultured bacterium. Its description in RNAcentral is "partial 16S ribosomal RNA". It matches the Rfam family "Bacterial small subunit ribosomal RNA", at positions 1378 to 1482 of the family's 1533-position model. The record is from RNAcentral.
CCGUUGUACACACCGCCCGUCACACCACGAGAGCUGUUUGUACCCAAAGCCAUCUUAGCUAACCCGUAAGGGGGCGGAUGUUUAAGGUAUGAAUAGUGAUUGGGGUG